This 3108-nucleotide long non-coding RNA is filed under the name Solanum tuberosum (potato). RNAcentral's name for it is "long non-coding RNA (STUB_LNC001790)". The record is from RNAcentral. Lineage: Eukaryota; Viridiplantae; Streptophyta; Magnoliopsida; Solanales; Solanaceae.
GUAUGAUAAGCAAGCACAAAUCAAUUGUAACAACAACCAUACUUGUCAAUUUAUGUUAUAAGCGAAGAAACUCCUGGGGAUGCUUUGAGCAAUCAUUUCUUUUGUCACAUCCAAAAGAACUUUUGCAUCCUGCCUGGUUUACAUCAUUCCCUGCUCAACACUUCAUAUGUAUAUACUAGUUAGAAUAGCCCAGGCCCAACAUGAACAAAAGCUAUAUUCGGUAAAAGUUGAUACAAUAUGUUAUGCCUAGUAGUGAAAUAGAGAAACUUGUUUCUCCUUUGAUUUUUAAAUUUCAAUUUCCAAAGAAUGGAUAAGUGAGACGGAAAGUAGAGAUCGGCCUGAGUUGUGCCUCGAUUGAUGUGCAAAAGGUAGAAGACAUAGAUUACAAGAUUCUGUAAUAUGUAUUUCAAUAGUGAGUUGACAAAGUUUUGCAUCCAUCCAAAGCAAGCCAAGAACUAAGGUGCGGUAGAAAGAUUAUUAAUAAAUUUGUAACAGUAAUAUGAACCAAAAGAAAAAAUUGAUUACCUCGCUUUGUUGCAACUCCUGUCAAUGUCUUUUCCAUAGAGUUAAAAAAAAUGCAGGCUUCACAUGUGCCUUUUGUCUUGUCUUUUGCAUAGAUGUCAAAGCUUAGAACAAGACACAUUAAUACACUGAAAAGAAUAAACUUGUUCAAUAAAUUUAUAAAUUAAUGAAAACACACAGAUUACCAAAUAUUUGUCCCUUUUUCUUUUCGUUUAACCUUCCGUUUGACUGCUUUGCUUCUCUGCAACAAGCUUCUUGUGUGUUGAUAAAAGAUUCAUUAAAUCCACAUAUUUGUCAUUCUCCUAGCACUUUCUAUCUGCAGCUGAACUAUGUUUGUUUUUUCUAAACUAUGGUUGUUUUUUGGAACAAUGAGAGCAAAGAAAUAUAUUCAAUUGAUAACCACAUAAUACACAAUCAAUCUUUUCAACAAGAAGUGAAUCUUUAUAGCAAUAAAUAAUAGGGAAAAAACACUAAGAUUAAAUACCCUAUUUUUUAAUUGAACUGCUAUUGGAAGAUAAAAGUUAAAAGGAAAAAAGAACAAAAAAUGCAACUAUCCAAUUAUCUACUACAAGUGUCAUCACAUUCAAGUCGAAGACGACCAUGACAACCCCAAGGAAGUAGUACAAGAAUCCAGUAAUUUUAAUGCACUGCAGGAACAUAGUACUCAUGAAAAAGGGCUUCAGGAAGCAAAACAUACGAAUUACCAGAACCAUGAAGAGGAAUCAGUUAGCAUUUUCCCAGACAUCAAAGAUCUCCUUGCUAUCAAUCUAAUUGUCGACCUGAAUAAGAGCCUUGUUAGCGAUUCGAACACCACCGUGAAGCCCACAAAUGCUCUCAAGAAUACAGGGAAAGGAAACAACAAGACAAAGAAUCAUCAGCACAAGAUCACCAACAAAAGAUUGUGCAUCAACCUGUUGAUGUUACCUCUCCUAACAGAUUAACUAUUACUAUUCCUGAAGAUCAACUUCAAUAUGAGGCCUUUGAUAAUGGCAACAAUGAUGGUUUCUCUCCUGCCAAGAAAAAUAAAAAUAUACAGGGGAAAGACAACAACAAGAAAAACAAUGAAAAAUCUACUCUCCCUACUACAAAGGGAAAUACAAACUGAUCUAUCUCCUUGUUAUCAAUGAUUAGUUCCAUUUUUUUUGGAAUAUAUAUUAAGGGUGUUAAGUCCCAAAAAGCCACUCACAGGCUUAAAAAACGUAUACAAAUCAACAAGAUUGAUCUUAAUGUAAUCAUGGAAUCCCAUGUAAACAUAAAAAUAUCAACAAUUACAUAAAAUUCUUGGGAUAUCAACACUGCAUGCAUCUCCAAUACAAAUAGCCAAAUUUAGCUCUUUUGGAAUAGGAAUCACCAAAACAAUGAUUGUUGCUAACACCGACUAGCAAAUUACCAUAAAAAUGUUUUACAGUCCCUCCAAUUGUGACUUGUAUGUUACAGAUAUUUAUGCAAAAUGCACCUCAGGUGAAAGACAUGAGUUCUAGGUAGAUCUUAAUAAUGUCCUCAAUAUGAUUCAAGGUCCUAGGUGCAUUGGGGGUGUCUUUAAUGUCAUUCUGGAUCACGAGAAGAAAAUGGGUGGCAAGACACAUAGAAUUAGAGAUAGCUUGGAUUUUAGCUCUUGUAUGGACUAUGGAUGCUUGUGAAGUCGUAGUAGAUCUGGGAUUUACUGGUCCAAAAUUCACAUGGUGUAACAAUAGGAAGCCAUGAAAAAGAAUCUGAAAGAGGCUAGACAAAAUGUUUAUUAAUGAUGAUUGGGCUCGAAUUUUCCACUGCAAUCAAGUUAAUCACCUCGGAAGAACAGGUUCCGAUCACAUGCCUCCUCUUAUCAAAUGCCACAAUGACCCGCAAGUAAAUAUAAAAAUAUUUCAAGUUUUUAGAUUUUUGGGCUGAUCAAUCUAACUUUAUGUAGCUAGUUGAACAGUCUUGGAACACCAAUGUCAUUGGUAACCCUAUGUGGAGGCUUCAAUCCUAACUCAAAAUGCUUAGCAAAAAUCUUAGUACUUGGUCUAGAGAAGUUGUUGGAAAUAUGUUUGAUCAGGCUAAGAUUUGGGAAGAGAAGCUUCACUACUUAGAAGAACAAGACCUCUUAAGUCUAACUAGUUUUAACUUAAUUCCAACAAUAGGAUCAAGUGUCAACACUAGAUGGACACAAAUCGAUCUUGCAAGAAAAUCAAUUUUGUCAUCAAUAGGAUCAACUAGUGUUGGUACUUAUGCUUAAGAAACACAUUAUUCCUAAAUUAAAGCUUAGUAUCAAUACUAGAUGGACACGAAUUGAUCUUGCAAGAAUAUCAAUUUUGUCAUCAAUAGGAUCAACUAGUGUUGGUACUUAUGCUUAAGAAACUACAUUAUCCUAAAUUAAAGCUUAGUAUCAAUACUAGAUGGACACGAAUUGAUCUUGCAAGAAUAUCAAUUUUGUCAUCAAUAGGAUCAACUAGUGUUGGUACUUAUGCUAAACAAACAACUCGAUGGACACAAACAAAUUAUACAUAAAAUUAAAGCUAAGUAUCAAUACUAGAUGGACACAAACACAUUAUAGAAACAAUUGUACUUGAACUUUAGAAAUUUUAGAAGCACCAAACCUUAUCUCCU